This is a long non-coding RNA of Salvia miltiorrhiza (redroot sage), 584 nucleotides long. RefSeq lists it as uncharacterized. The transcript has 2 exons. NCBI's taxonomy places the organism in Eukaryota, Viridiplantae, Streptophyta, Magnoliopsida, Lamiales, Lamiaceae. The record is from RefSeq and is a predicted model, not a curated record.
AAAGCCAAAUCCUAUAUGUGGAUUGUGGAGUAUUUGUAUUUGUAUUUCUUUUGCUUUUUUCCCAUUAGUCUUCGCUCUCCAGUUCAAAUCGCAACGGCGCAGCGGAAGUGUUGAUGGAGCAGCGGUGGUGCCGUGGUGGUGACUGGUGAGGAUCGUCGCCGGUCGUCGUUGGAGUUGGGCCGACAAGAGGCGGCGUUGGUGUUGCUAAUUGCGAAGAGAAAGAGAGCAAAAUUUCAGUGAACCGAUGAAAUGAAAGGAAAACUAGGAUUGCAGCUAAAAUAAUAUUGUUUAUUUAUUUAAUUAAUAUUAAAUGUGAAAUUACCAAAAUACCCCUAGUUUUUUUAAAAAUUUCCAGGGGGCCCAGUGCCCCCACUGCCCCCCCUCUACCUCCGUCACUGGAAAUAAGUAUCAACACCUUUAUUUAAAUAAUAUAAAAAACUUAUGAAAUUAAACUUGAGUGACGGAAAUUGCCUGGAAAAAUAAAGAAUGCUUAAAAAACAAUGGAAGAACGCUGACGAAUUGAUGAAAUUUGUUCUAUAUAUUAAAGAUAGUGUAAAAUUUACAAAUGAGAAAAGUUUGCUAUU